UACGUAGGGUGCGAGCGUUGUCCGGAUUUAUUGGGCGUAAAGAGCUCGUAGGCGGUUUGUCGCGUCGGCCGUGAAAUCUCCACGCUUAACGUGGAGCGUGCGGUCGAUACGGGCAGACUUGAGUUCGGUAGGGGAGACUGGAAUUCCUGGUGUAGCGGUGAAAUGCGCAGAUAUCAGGAGGAACACCGGUGGCGAAGGCGGAUCUCUGGGCCUUACCUGACGCUCAGGUGCGAAAGCUAGGGGAGCGAACAGG
This 253-nucleotide ribosomal RNA is filed under the name uncultured bacterium. RNAcentral's name for it is "partial 16S ribosomal RNA". It matches the Rfam family "Bacterial small subunit ribosomal RNA", at positions 524 to 776 of the family's 1533-position model. The record is from RNAcentral.